GUCGCAGCUACUAAAGCUUUGGUGCCCAGUUGGAAUAAUUAGUCAGUUUCCAUUUUGCCAGAGCAUUACCCUUCUGUUAUCCUGCCUUUUGUACCAGGAGUCUAUUUAUCUUGGUUGAUUUUGACUUGAUGUUUGAUAUUUCGUGAGGCCUUCUGAGCCUAUCCUAUCUUUAUAGACUUUGAAACUUUGAUUUGGUAUGCU
Molecule: unclassified non-coding RNA, 201 nt
Filed under: Hevea brasiliensis (rubber tree)
Lineage: Eukaryota; Viridiplantae; Streptophyta; Magnoliopsida; Malpighiales; Euphorbiaceae
Source: RNAcentral